AACAAGUUGACGAGGAGUAAUAAAGCAAGACUUAUAGAGAGAACACGGUUGGUGAAAGUGUUCAGUCAAACUUUAUGAAGGUUGCGUCAUUUCAAGAAAAUUAUGGCAUAAAAUGAGUGUCGUCAAUUGACGAAAAUCAGGUGGUACCGUGCGGAAGCACCCUGGAG
This 167-nucleotide non-coding RNA is filed under the name Lactococcus lactis. Its description in RNAcentral is "T-box sequence". It matches the Rfam family "T-box leader". From Rfam's summary of the family: Uncharged tRNA acts as the effector for transcription antitermination of genes in the T-box leader family. T-boxes are found upstream of many aminoacyl-tRNA synthetase genes and some amino acid biosynthetic genes usually in Gram-positive bacteria. The record is from RNAcentral. Lineage: Bacteria; Bacillati; Bacillota; Bacilli; Lactobacillales; Streptococcaceae.